CCUACGGGAGGCAGCAGUAGGGAAUCUUCCACAAUGGGCGAAAGCCUGAUGGAGCAACGCCGCGUGGGUGAAGAAGGUCUGCGGAGCGGAAAACCCUGUUGGUAGAGAAGAAAGUGCAUGAGAGUAACAGUUCACGUGUCGACGGUAUCUAACCAGAAAGCCACGGCUAACUACGUGCCAGCAGCCGCGGUAAUACGUAGGUGGCAAGCGUGAGCCGGAUUUAUUGGGCGUAAAGGGAACGCAGGCGGUCUUUUAAGUCUGAUGUGAAAGCCUUCGGCUUAACCGGAGUAGUGCAUUGGCAACUGGGAGACUUGAGUGCAGCAGAGGCGAGUGGAACUCCAUGUGUAGCGGU
Molecule: ribosomal RNA, 352 nt
Filed under: uncultured bacterium
Lineage: Bacteria
Description: partial 16S ribosomal RNA
Rfam family: Bacterial small subunit ribosomal RNA
Source: RNAcentral